Molecule: non-coding RNA, 45 nt
Filed under: Trichobilharzia regenti
Lineage: Eukaryota; Metazoa; Platyhelminthes; Trematoda; Strigeidida; Schistosomatidae
Source: RNAcentral
AGCCAGAUGACGAGUCCAAAGUAGGACGAAAUGCGCAUCCUGGAU